ACAGCCAGUGUGCACCUCAGAGGUUCUUCCAGCUUGCCAGAUGAGAUUCCUGAAUAUCUGUCAGAAUGUCAGAUGAUUUGAGGAAACAGACAGAGUCCAGUACAUCCCAACCAAUGGCAAGAGUAAAAUGUUCAAGAAAAAGAAGUAUUGGUGUGAUUUCAAAGGAGAAUUA
This is a long non-coding RNA of Haliotis rufescens (red abalone), 172 nucleotides long. RefSeq lists it as uncharacterized. Lineage: Eukaryota; Metazoa; Mollusca; Gastropoda; Lepetellida; Haliotidae. The record is from RefSeq and is a predicted model, not a curated record. The transcript is spliced from 3 exons.